Molecule: ribosomal RNA, 411 nt
Filed under: Verrucomicrobiota bacterium
Lineage: Bacteria; Pseudomonadati; Verrucomicrobiota
Description: Verrucomicrobia bacterium partial 16S ribosomal RNA
Rfam family: Bacterial small subunit ribosomal RNA
Source: RNAcentral
UGGGGAAUCUUGCGCAAUGGGGGAAACCCUGACGCAGCGACGCCGCGUGCGGGAUGAAGGCCUUCGGGUUGUAAACCGCUUUCAGCAGGGACGAGGCCUUAUGGUGACGGUACCUGCAGAAGAAGCUCCGGCUAAAUACGUGCCAGCAGCCGCGGUAAUACGUAUGGAGCAAGCGUUAUCCGGAUUCAUUGGGCGUAAAGCGCUCGUAGGCGGUCUGUUAGGUCGGCAAGUUAAAUCCGGGGGCUCAACCCCCGUCCGCUUCCGAUACCGGCAGACUUGAGUUUGGUAGGGGAAGGUGGAAUUCCUAGUGUAGCGGUGGAAUGCGCAGAUAUUAGGAAGAACACCGGUGGCGAAGGCAGGUUACUGGGCCGUUACUGACGCUGAGGAGCGAAAGCAUGGGGAGCGAACAGG